This is a long non-coding RNA of Dicentrarchus labrax (European seabass), 787 nucleotides long. RefSeq lists it as uncharacterized. The record is from RefSeq and is a predicted model, not a curated record. Lineage: Eukaryota; Metazoa; Chordata; Actinopteri; Moronidae. The transcript is spliced from 3 exons.
UGCUGAAUUUAUUCCAGGAAAUAAGACAAAAAUAACAGUGAAGUAGUUUGAAUGGUUGAAUCAAACCAUUCUUCAUACUUUUUAUAUUUUCAGCUGAUCUCUUGAGGAACCACUUUGGGAACCACACAACAUUGGUGGGGUGACUUUGUCUCAAUAGGUGGCGCAAUACUCCUACUUUUUGAUUUGUCUUUAUGGCAGCUGGGGGUGAAACAACAGGUAGAGUGACACUGUCAACAUGUUUCCAGGAGCGCCUCCCUCCCCUGCUGGGCUGACAACCACAGAUGCAUGCGUGGAGCCCACUUUCUGUCUGCGGCUGGACCACUUGGCUCCUUCACAAAGGCUUUCUGGAAUAACAGAGCCAACCAGAGGAAAUGACAGCAUGAUCACAAGAGGUUUCCCUCACUCCCUCUAAAGCUGCCUACUGGGGGUCGAAAAGGGUGUGUGUCAUUGGGAUACUGGCAGAGGUGAAAGCUAAUUUUGAUGCAGUGGAAAUAACUGCAGUAAUAGUUCAGAAACAAGUGCAGAACUUAUUGCUGCCCUGAGAUGUGCAGACACUGAAGUUAUAGUUCAUAUUAGCUAUUCAGGCAACCAAGCCACGCUUUUAAAGUUCAGGGUUAUUUGAAUCCAGCAUAUCAAUGCAAUUGUGAAACCCAGGGUGAUAGGCUGGUAGGAGGAAAUGGAGUAAUUUACUUCAAAACUGUGCACCAGCUGAAGAAUUUAGAAGUAGAAAUAUAUUUUCUUGCUCUCCAGAGCAAUAAAAGACACCACUUUGUAAAUGUUUUGAAAA